RNAcentral lists this transfer RNA (79 nucleotides) under Didymella sp. IMI 355093. RNAcentral describes it as "tRNA-Ala". It matches the Rfam family "tRNA". Rfam says of the family: Transfer RNA (tRNA) molecules are approximately 80 nucleotides in length. Their secondary structure includes four short double-helical elements and three loops (D, anti-codon, and T loops). Lineage: Eukaryota; Fungi; Ascomycota; Dothideomycetes; Pleosporales; Didymellaceae. The record is from RNAcentral.
GGGCGUCUAGCGCAGUGGUAGCGCGUCCGCUUUGCAUCAAGGCUGCGGAAGGUCUAGGGUUCGAUCCCCUAGUCGUCCA